Molecule: long non-coding RNA, 306 nt
Filed under: Elaeis guineensis (African oil palm)
Lineage: Eukaryota; Viridiplantae; Streptophyta; Magnoliopsida; Arecales; Arecaceae
Description: long non-coding RNA (EGUI_LNC003667)
Source: RNAcentral
UGGUCGGUCACUAAUGAGAGGGAGUCUCAGGAUUUUGGGACUCUUUGAUUCUAAACCAAUUUGGCUCAAAUUUGAUCCGAUUCGAAUCCGAUUUGAAUCUGAUUUGAACCAGACUUGAAGAGCCUGUUAAUCCUAAUCUAAUUAGGAUUCUGAUCUAAGUCUAACUUAAAUAUAUAAUCUAAUUAAAUCUAAUUAAAUUAAAUCUAAUCUGAAAUUAAUUAGUACUUAAAUUCAAUCUCUCAUAAAUUUUUUGAAUCACUAAUCAGAUCAUUAUCAUCUCCAAAAUUAAAUCUGAAUCUCAUGUCC